UAGGGAAUCUUCGGCAAUGGACGAAAGUCUGACCGAGCAACGCCGCGUGAGUGAAGAAGGUUUUCGGAUCGUAAAACUCUGUUGUUAGAGAAGAACAAGGACGUUAGUAACUGAACGUCCCCUGACGGUAUCUAACCAGAAAGCCACGGCUAACUACGUGCCAGGAGCCGCGGUAAUACGUAGGUGGCAAGCGUUGUCCGGAUUUAUUGGGCGUAAAGCGAGCGCAGGCGGUUUCUUAAGUCUGAUGUGAAAGCCCCCGGCUCAACCGGGGAGGGUCAUUGGAAACUGGGAGACUUGAGUGCAGAAGAGGAGAGUGGAAUUCCAUGUGUAGCGGUGAAAUGCGUAGAUAUAUGGAGGAACACCAGUGGCGAAGGCGGCUCUCUGGUCUGUAACUGACGCUGAGGCUCGAAAGCGUGGGGAGCAAACAGG
This 429-nucleotide ribosomal RNA is filed under the name Gemmatimonadota bacterium. RNAcentral's name for it is "Gemmatimonadetes bacterium partial 16S ribosomal RNA". It matches the Rfam family "Bacterial small subunit ribosomal RNA", at positions 355 to 776 of the family's 1533-position model. Lineage: Bacteria; Pseudomonadati; Gemmatimonadota. The record is from RNAcentral.